GGGUUGUGAGGUUAAGCGACUAAGCGUACACGGUGGAUGCCCUGGCAGUCAGAGGCGAUGAAGGACGUGCUAAUCUGCGAUAAGCGUCGGUAAGGUGAUAUGAACCGUUAUAACCGGCGAUUUCCGAAUGGGGAAACCCAGUGUGUUUCGACACACUAUCAUUAACUGAAUCCAUAGGUUAAUGAGGCGAACCGGGGGAACUGAAACAUCUAAAAUUACCCCGGAAAAGAAAUCAACCGAGAGAUUCCCCAGUAGCUGGCAGGCAGACAGGGGCAAUGGAGCCUGAAUCGGUGUAUUGUGUUGAGUGGAAGCGUCUGGAAAGGCGCGCGCGAUACAGGAGUGACGGCCCCGUACACAAAAUGCACAUGCUGUAGGCUCGAUGGAAUGGGCUGGGGACACGUAACAUCCUGUAGAAUAUGGGGGACCAUCCUCAAGGGCUAAAUGCACUCCUGACUGACCGAUAGUAGACCAAUUUACCGUGAGGGAAAGGCGAAAAGAACCCGAAGCGAGGGAGUGAAAAGAACCUGAAACCGUGUACGUACAGAAGCGGUGGGAGCACGCCUUGGGCGUGUGACUGCGUACGUAUAAUGGGUCAGCGAGCUUAUAUUCUGUAGCAAAGUUAAUAACCAGAUAGAGGCCGAGAAGAGAACCGAGUCUUAACUGGGCGUUAAGUUGCAGGGUAUGGACCCGGGAGCAGUGAUCUAGCCAUGGAAGCGGGUUGGGGUUGGUAACACUAACUGGAGGACCGAACCUAAUGUUGCGAAAAUUAGCGGAUGACUUGUGGCUGGGGUAGAAGAAAGACCAAUCAAACCGGGAGAUAGCUGGUUCUCCCCGAAGCUAUUUAGGUAGCGCCUCUAUUAGAUUCAUCUCCCGAAGGUGGGAGGCACUGGCUUUCGGCAGAGGUCAUCCCGACUUACCGGAAGUGGUAGGCUGCGAAUACCGAGGAGAAUGUUAUCACAGAGGAUUUUUACAGCGAAAGUGCGCUUAACGUCCGUCGUGAAGAAACAACCCAGACUACGCAAACAGGUCCCAAAGUCGUAGUUAGAGUGGGAAAAACGAUGCCGGAAGUGAACAGCGGGAUGUUGGCAGAAGCAGCCAUCAUUUAAAGAUAGCCAAGCUCACUGGUCGAGUCGGCCUGCGGAAGAUAUAGCAAGGGCUAAAACCAUUGCACCCAGAGCUGCGGGCAGCGACGCUUAUGCGUUGUUGGGUAGAGGAGCGUUCUGUAAAGCCUGUGAAGGUGUGUGUGUGCUGUAAGGCAUGCUGGAGGUAUCAGAAGUGCGAAUGCGGCAUAAGUAACGUCAAAGGCGGGUGAAAGCCCGCUCGCCGGAAGACCAGGGUUCCUGUCAACGUGGAAAUCGGGGCAGAAUUGGGGAGUCGACCCCUAAGGCGAGGCCGAAAGGCGUAGUCGAUGGAAACAGGUUAAUAUUCCUGUACUUGGUAUUUACUGCAGAAGGGACGGAGAAGGCUAUAUUGGCCCGGGCGACGAAUUUGUCCCAGUUUAAGCGUAUGGGCACAGUUUUCCGGGCAAAUCCGGAAAAUCAAGGCUGAAGGCGUGAUGACGAGGCACUGCAGUGCGCACAAGGCAACAAAUGCCCUGCUUCCGGGAAAGCCUCUAAGCAUCAAGGUAACAUCAAAUCGUACUGAAACCGACACAGGUGGUCAGGUAAGAGAAUACCAAGGGCAGCAGAGGAACUCGGGUGAAGAGACUAGGCAAGAUGGUGCCUUCCGGGAGAGGCACGCUGAUAUGGGUAGAGUCCCUCGCGGAUGGAGCUCAGAAUCAGUCAGAGAUACCAGCUGGCUGCAACUGUUUAUUAAAACUGGCGGCUGUACAGAGCACGAAGGUGGACGCCGCAGUGUGACGCCUGCCCGGUGCGGAAGGUGAUGGGGUUAGCCUGGGGCGAGGCUCUUGAUCAGAAGCCAGUAAGAGCAGCGGCCGUAACUAUAGCAGUCCCUAAGGUGGCAAAAUUCCCCUUGUCGGGUAAGUUCCGACCUGCACGGAGAUGGCAUGUGAGUGGCGGGCUAUCUCCGCGAGACUCGAAGUGAAAUUGAACUCGCUGUGAAGAUGCAGUGUACCCGCGAACGAGAGACGGAAGAGACCCCGUGAACCUUUACUGCCAAUUGACACUGGAACAUUGAGCCUUGAUGUGUAGGAUAGGUGGGAAGCAGAGUGUGGACGCAUGAUGCAUGGAGCCGACAGCAGAAAUCACCAGCACAAUGGUGAUGUUCCCACAACGUUGACCCGUAAUCCGGAGUUGCGGACAGUAUCUAGUGGGUAUUGUUGUUAGUUUAUUUCAGGGCGGUCUCCUCCCUAAAGAGUAACGGAGGGCACGAAGGUUGGCUAAUCACGAGUCGGACAUCAGGAGGUUAGCAGUGCAAUGAAAAGCAUAAAAGCCAGAAACGGCUGCGAGCGUGACGAAAGCAUUUGCAAAACCGAGUCCGUAUAUGAUGAUCAGUGGUUCUGGAAUGGAAGGCCAUCGCUCAACGGAUAAAAAAGGAAUUACUCCGGGGAUAACGGAAGGCUGAUACGCCCAAGGUUAUAUCGACGGCGGUGGUAACCUCGAUGUCAGCUCAUCACAUCCACAGGGGCUGAAGUAGGUCCCAGGGUAUGGCUAUUCGCCAUUUAAAGAGUGAGUACGCGAGCUGGGUUUAGAACUUGUCGUGAGGACAGUUCAGGUCCCUAUCUGCCGUGGGCGCUGGAGAGGAGACUGAGGGGGCUGCUCCUGAGUACGAGAGGGACCAGGUGGACGCAUCGCUGGUGUUCGGGUUGUCAUGCCAGUAGCUGCCAGUAGCUAAAUGCGGAAGAGAUAAGUGCUGCAAGCAUCUGGCACGAACUUGCCCGGAUAGAGUUCUCCUGGCUCAUGAGGAGUCCCUGGAAACGGUGAAGAUGACGACGUUGAUAGGCCAGGUGUGUAAGCGCAGCGAUGCGUUGAGCUAACCGGUACUAAUGAACCGUGAGGCUUAACCUUACAACGCCGAAGGUGUUU
Molecule: ribosomal RNA, 2984 nt
Filed under: Escherichia coli
Lineage: Bacteria; Pseudomonadati; Pseudomonadota; Gammaproteobacteria; Enterobacterales; Enterobacteriaceae
Description: 23S ribosomal RNA
Rfam family: Bacterial large subunit ribosomal RNA
Source: RNAcentral